Molecule: ribosomal RNA, 450 nt
Filed under: uncultured bacterium
Lineage: Bacteria
Description: partial 16S ribosomal RNA
Rfam family: Bacterial small subunit ribosomal RNA
Source: RNAcentral
GUGGGGAAUUUUGGACAAUGGGGGCAACCCUGAUCCAGCCAUUCCGCGUGAGUGAAGAAGGCCUUCGGGUUGUAAAGCUCUUUCGUCAGGAACGAAACGGCGGGCUCUAACAUAGCCUGUUAAUGACGGUACCUGAAGAAGAAGCACCGGCUAACUACGUGCCAGCAGCCGCGGUAAUACGUAGGGUGCGAGCGUUAAUCGGAAUUACUGGGCGUAAAGCGUGCGCAGGCGGAUUGUUAAGCAAGACGUGAAAUCCCCGGGCUUAACCUGGGAAUGGCGUUUUGAACUGGAAGUCUAGAGUGCGUCAGAGGGGGGUGGAAUUCCACGUGUAGCAGUGAAAUGCGUAGAGAUGUGGAGGAACACCGAUGGCGAAGGCAGCCCCCUGGGAUGACACUGACGCUCAUGUACGAAAGCGUGGGUAGCAAACAGGAUUAGAAACCCCAGUAGUCC